GCCUGGGUGGCACAGCGGUUGAGCGUCUGCCUUCGGCUCAGGGCGUGAUCCCUGCGUUGUGGGAUCGAGCCCCACAUCAGGCU
Molecule: non-coding RNA, 83 nt
Organism: Ailuropoda melanoleuca (giant panda)
Lineage: Eukaryota; Metazoa; Chordata; Mammalia; Carnivora; Ursidae
Source: Rfam